UGGGGAAUAUUGCACAAUGGGCGAAAGCCUGAUGCAGCGACGCCGCGUGAGGGAUGACGGCCUUCGGGUUGUAAACCUCUUUCAGCAGGGAAGAAGCGAAAGUGACGGUACCUGCAGAAGAAGCGCCGGCUAACUACGUGCCAGCAGCCGCGGUAAUACGUAGGGCGCAAGCGUUGUCCGGAAUUAUUGGGCGUAAAGAGCUCGUAGGCGGUUAGUCGCGUCUGCUGUGAAAACUCGAGGCUCAACCUCGGGCUUGCAGUGGGUACGGGCUGACUAGAGUGCGGUAGGGGUGACUGGAAUUCCUGGUGUAGCGGUGGAAUGCGCAGAUAUCAGGAGGAACACCGAUGGCGAAGGCAGGUCACUGGGCCGCAACUGACGCUGAGGAGCGAAAGCAUGGGGAGCGAACAGGAUUAGAUACCCUGGUAGUCCAUGCCGUAAACGUUGGGCACUAGGUGUGGGGUCCAUUCCACGGAUUCCGUGCCGCAGCAAACGCAUUAAGUGCCCCGCCUGGGGAGUACGGCCGCAAGGCUAAAACUUAAAUGAAUUGACGGGGGUC
Molecule: ribosomal RNA, 556 nt
Filed under: uncultured bacterium
Lineage: Bacteria
Description: partial 16S ribosomal RNA
Rfam family: Bacterial small subunit ribosomal RNA
Source: RNAcentral